RNAcentral lists this ribosomal RNA (253 nucleotides) under uncultured bacterium. Its description in RNAcentral is "partial 16S ribosomal RNA". It matches the Rfam family "Bacterial small subunit ribosomal RNA", at positions 524 to 776 of the family's 1533-position model. The record is from RNAcentral.
GACGGAGGCCCCGAGCGUUAGGCGGAAUCACUGGGCUUAAAGCGUGUGUAGGCGGCUCGUUAAGCGUCUUGUGAAAUCCCACGGCUCACCCGUGGAACCGCUGGGCAUACUGGCGAUCUCGGGCCAUUCAGGGGCGACUGGAACAAGCGGUGGAGCGGUGAAAUGCGUAGAUAUCGCUUGGAACGCCGAAGGUGAAAACAGGUCGCUGGGGAUGUGCCGACGCUGAGACACGAAAGCCAGGGGAGCAAACGGG